This 74-nucleotide transfer RNA is filed under the name Chrysosplenium sp. TY-2022a. RNAcentral's name for it is "tRNA-Trp". It matches the Rfam family "tRNA". Rfam says of the family: Transfer RNA (tRNA) molecules are approximately 80 nucleotides in length. Their secondary structure includes four short double-helical elements and three loops (D, anti-codon, and T loops). Further hydrogen bonds mediate the characteristic L-shaped molecular structure. tRNAs have two regions of fundamental functional importance: the anti-codon, which is responsible for specific mRNA codon recognition, and the 3' end, to which the tRNAs corresponding amino acid is attached (by aminoacyl-tRNA synthetases). tRNAs cope with the degeneracy of the genetic code in two manners: having more than one tRNA (with a specific anti-codon) for a particular amino acid; and 'wobble' base-pairing, i.e. permitting non-standard base-pairing at the 3rd anti-codon position. Lineage: Eukaryota; Viridiplantae; Streptophyta; Magnoliopsida; Saxifragales; Saxifragaceae. The record is from RNAcentral.
GCGCUCUUAGUUCAGUUUGGCAGAACGUGGGUCUCCAAAACCCGAUGUCGUAGGUUCAAGUCCUACAGAGCGUG